GGCGCCAGGCGCUCCGGCCGCAAGGGAGCAGGGAGCCCUGCCAGCUGGGCCACCCGAGGGGCGUUGCGGGGCUCCGGGCGGGGUCGACCCGGGGGGCUCCGUCGGGCCCCACCAGCCUUGCGCCUUUUUCGCUCGGUCUCCUUGGCCUCCCGCUCCUGCGACGCCGCUUUCCUUUUCUCUUGCUCCCGAGCUCGGACCUCGGCCAGGGGCCCCGCCCGCCAGUUGGUCGCCUCCUGCAGCACCCUGGAGGCCCAGGGCCGGCGGGGCGGCGGCUGUGGGGAUCCCGGGCGCGGCCCACACCUGGGACAAUGAGCAGGAACCCAGGCUUUCAUCAUGUUGCCCAGGCUGAUGCUGAACUCCUGAGCUCAAGCAAUCCACUUGCCUUGGCCUCCCAAAGUACUGGCAUUACAGGCGUGAGCCACCACACCUGGCUGAGUUUUCUUUUUCCUCUUUUUAACUUCUACCCCAGAGCCUAAUCCAGUACAUAAAGUGUAAAGGCUAAAUUAGAAAAUCUAUAUAAAAAUGCUUUGUAAACCAUAAUACAUUUACAAGUAAGUAGAAUAUGACAUGUCAUUUUAAAUUUAAUGGAAUUAGACUCCUUAUUUUUGUUUAAGAUUAUCCUGAUUAGUCAGAAUUGGCUCCCUUGCCUGGGAGACCAACUGCGAAUCAUUUUAGUACUUUGGUCGGUUUUCUUUUUGAAAACCUGAAAGAAACAACCUCUCUGUGAGCAGAGAAACGGUGUGGCAAAGAAUUACUCUGGGCAUGUAAUCCAAAGCAAAGUGAACCUGCAGUCCUUUCGUAACUACAGUAGCAGAUGAUAAAAACCAAGAUGGAAAGAGUUACUCUGCCUGAAAGAAGACACAUGGUUAAAAACUGUGGAGAGGGAAGUGUAUGGGAGGGGUUACAGAGCGCUAGAAAAAGACUCCUGAGAGUGAGGGUGGGUGCAAACAUGUAGCAGGCAACCCGCAGCAUCUGUGGGAGGGUGACAGGGCCCUGCCACAAUUGGUCAAUGCCUGCUCGCCAAGAAUGAGCUAUGCCAAAACCCCUGCUUAGAGUCGCAGAGCGGGCCAUGACCUAAAAUUGUCCAGGGACACAUCGGCCUCUAACACUGCAAGAUUUCCUCUUUCAAGCAAACCUCAAUUCUCGGUCUUAUUAAGGGAAUGUGACUUCACUGGACGCAGUAUAAAGAUCUUCAGAUGUCCUCCUGCCGGGGAUUGCAGGGAUCACAGAAAGACCAUCGAGGUCCAGGAGCUACCUGCAAGCGGAGAUCCCUCUGGACGCCCCGUGCCUCACCCAGCAAAGCCGGCUCACAACCCUGCGCUCUCAAACCUCUAAAAGGGCUUGAGGUGCCAAUAGGAAAGGAGGCCCGAGAUUGCCACGGCAUACGUGGGCCCCAAGGAGGGAGCCAGGAGUCACUGCCUGCUUGGGCUAAGGGUACCGCGUACGGAAAGGCGGCGGGGACGCGGCCCAGUUCCAGGAGAUGCGCCCAACGAAGAAGCGGAGGAACAGGGUCACGGGAUAGGGCAGACACCCGGCUGCUUUUUGUUUGCUAGACACCAGCGCCAGCCCCUGCCCGGCCCUCCCGGUCUCCUAAGGGUUGGGGGGGUGUCUUAGGCUCCACAGCGCCCCCGACCGCCCUCCUGCACUCCUCACCGUCUCCAUUGCAAGAGGCGCCCGGCUUGGUUUCCUCGCUUUAGGAAACUCUCUUGGGGCAGGCCCCGCCCCACAUCCGGUGCGGCGACGCCACUUCCGCCCACGUCAUGGCAGUCGCCAGACUGGGGCGGAAGGCAAGGAACCCACCCUUCCGGCGGUGGCGGGCCUCGGUAACCGCCCUCCCCCGGGUCCUCGCGGACCGCACGGAUCCGGCUGACGGCGAGGGUCAUGGGACGGAGCCGCUUGUAUUUAAAAUGUUCUUUUUUUAUUUGUCGUUUAAAAACAAACUUGGAAGAAGCAAAAUCCAAAACUUGCCCUUUGCCUCUCGCAACAUAAAUAUGUACAGUUCAGAAUGAUCGCUGAUACAAAACAUGCCAAGGACAGGGGCGCUGAGGGUGGAGGGAGAGAGGGCGCUUUAAAAAAGGGAACCAUUUCAUCCGUUGUUACGAAGGACCAACCUUGCUGUACAGGAUACACACAACACAAAAUAAAGUCUUCACGGGAUUCACACUUGUCAGCGAUUUAUUUUUUAAAAAGGGGGAGGGUCCUGGAGGUGAGGGGAGAAGACUGUAAAGGGGAAAACUGAAAACUGAGUAUGUGCGAGUGUAAACCAACCCAAAAUACAAACACGGGGGCGGGGGGUGGGGUGGGGGAUUCUGAUGCAAUUAUACAGGCAGGGUACUUAAAAAAAAAACCAACCAAAAUUCCAACCUUGUAGCUUGGGUCUGAGUUAUAGUUUAUAUAAAAAUUAAAAACUGUAUAAGGUUUCUUCACUAAAUUCUACAGGACUAUCGGAUACCUAGCAUAUGCUUACAAAGUCUGCCCCAUCCCCUUUUCCCAAUCCCAGGGCCCAAGCCCCAAACACAGCCUGACUCACGGGAGCCAAUCUCCCCCUCCCUGUAGCCUAGACCUUCUGCUCUCGGAAAAGGAACAUCCAAGGGCUGUGGCUUUGAGGGCAGCAGCCCAGUCUUCCUACUGUCUGAUUUAAUUACAGCGGUUCCUGUGGGAGUGGGGGCUGUUAUUCUCUUAAACAUUUGCAGCUUGAAACAGUUGAGGAAGCAGCUUUAAAAAAAAAAAAUCUCCCUACCCCCAACAAUCCACAACCCCCCAAAUUCAAAACAAAACAAAAACAAACCUAAAAUCACAACAGCGACCAAGCUCCCCCUCCAGCAGGCCCGCCCGUCCACCACCACCAAGCCCACCCCUACACUCCAGACAUCUGAUUCUUGAAAAUAUUAAUUACAAAAUGCCCUUUGCCCACAGCCCCUAGAAGAGAACUGCAUAUAAGCUUCAUCUUCAUCCCCACGGUUCCCUACCAGAGAGGGGUUUGGGGCCUCACCCACCCCUUACCUACUCCCACCCCCAGGAAGAGGUUCAACUGCAGCACAAGCUUGGGCAGAAAGGGGAAGGAAAGGGAGGCAAGGAACCCAUCACCCUCUGGCUCCCCCUGGGGUCAGCUCUCUUUUGUGCGUUAUAACAUAGUCCAACUAUACAACAGGGGGUGGGAAUUGCCCAGCCUCUAUACCCCCAUCUUACAGCAGUCACAGCCAGGGGGUGGGGAGUGGGGUGGGGGGUGAGGAAAAGGGCGGUAGGUCGGGUAAUGGAGGGGGCCCCCCCACAAGGGGAGCUCCAUGUGUCCGCCCCACACCCCCCUACCAUUUAUAAACUGGUUUUGUAAAAAGAAAAUAGAUAUAUUUAUAUAGAAUAUAUAAAGCACAAAAAUUAGUAGUUUUACAUUUGCUCUCCCCGGGGGGUGGGGGGAGAGGGGAG
This 3423-nucleotide long non-coding RNA is filed under the name Homo sapiens (human). RNAcentral's name for it is "PREDICTED lncRNA (TCONS_00054000)". Lineage: Eukaryota; Metazoa; Chordata; Mammalia; Primates; Hominidae. The record is from RNAcentral.